This 505-nucleotide ribosomal RNA is filed under the name uncultured bacterium. RNAcentral describes it as "partial 16S ribosomal RNA". It matches the Rfam family "Bacterial small subunit ribosomal RNA", at positions 28 to 507 of the family's 1533-position model. The record is from RNAcentral.
GACGAACGCUGGCGGCGUGCCUAAUACAUGCAAGUAGAACGCACAGUUUAUACCGUAGCUUGCUACACCAUAGACUGUGAGUUGCGAACGGGUGAGUAACGCGUAGGUAACCUGCCUGGUAGCGGGGGAUAACUAUUGGAAACGAUAGCUAAUACCGCAUAAUAUUGAUUAUUGCAUGAUAAUUAAUUGAAAGGUGCAAUUGCACCACUACCAGAUGGACCUGCGUUGUAUUAGCUAGUAGGAGAGGUAACGGCUCACCUAGGCGACGAUACAUAGCCGACCUGAGAGGGUUGUCGGCCACACUGGGACUGGGACACGGCCCAGACUCCUUCGGGAGGGAGCAGUAGGGGAUCUUCGGCAAUGGACGAAAGUCUGACCGAGCAACGCCGCGGGAGUGAAGAAGGUUUUCGGGUCGUAAAGCUCUGUUGUAAGAGAAGAACGGGUGUGAGAGUGGAAAGUUCACACUGUGACGGUAUCUUACCAGAAAGGGACGGCUAACUACGUG